GACGAACGCUGGCGGCGUGCUUAACACAUGCAAGUCGAACGGACAGGCCCUGCUCUUGUGGGGUGCUCGAGUGGCGAACGGGUGAGUAACACGUGAGUAACCUGCCCUCGACUUUGGGAUAACUUCAGGAAACUGGGGCUAAUACCGGAUAGGAGCUCCUGCUGCACGGUGGGGGUUGGAGAGUUUCGGCGGUUGGGGAUGGACGCGCGGCUUAUCAGCUUGUUGGUGGGGUAGUGGCUGACCAAGGCUUUGACGGGUAGCCGGCCUGAGAGGGGGACCGGGCACAUGGGGACUGCGAUACGGCCCAGACGCCUACGGGAGGCAGUAGUGGGGAAUAUGGCACAAUGGGGGGAAGCGUGAUGCAGCAACGCCGCGUGCGGGAUGACGGCCUUCGGGUUGUAAACCGCUUUCGCAUGUGACGAAGCGUGAGUGACGGUAAUGGGUAAAGAAGCACCGGCUAACUACGUG
Molecule: ribosomal RNA, 468 nt
Filed under: uncultured bacterium
Lineage: Bacteria
Description: partial 16S ribosomal RNA
Rfam family: Bacterial small subunit ribosomal RNA
Source: RNAcentral